AACGAACGCUGGCGGCAUGCCUAACACAUGCAAGUCGAACGAGACCUUCGGGUCUAGUGGCGCACGGGUGCGUAACGCGUUGGAACCUGCCCUUAGGUUCGGAAUAACUCCCCGAAAGGGGUGCUAAUACCGGAUAAUGUCUUCGGACCAAAGAUUUAUCGCCUUUGGAUGGGCCCGCGUUGGAUUAGCUAGUUGGUAGGGUAAAAGCCUACCAAGGCGACGAUCCAUAGCUGGUCUGAGAGGAUGAUCAGCCACACUGGGACUGAGACACGGCCCAGACUCCUACGGGAGGCAGCAGUGGGGAAUAUUGGACAAUGGGCGAAAGCAUGAUCCAGCAAUGCCGCGUGAGUGAUGAAGGCCUUAGGGUUGUAAAGCUCUUUUACCCGGGAUGAUAAUGACAGUAACGGGAGAAUAAGCUCCGGCUAACUCCGUG
Molecule: ribosomal RNA, 433 nt
Filed under: uncultured bacterium
Lineage: Bacteria
Description: partial 16S ribosomal RNA
Rfam family: Bacterial small subunit ribosomal RNA
Source: RNAcentral